AAGCCAGGGUCAUGCCCUUGAACUCCCCAGCCUGCAGAAUCGUGAGCUAAAUUAAUCACUUUUCUUUAGCCAUCUCAGAUUUUCUGUUAUUGCAUCACAAAAUAUUAGACUUCAUCACAAUUUAAAACUUACUUCAGAGGACACCAUUAAGAAAGUGAAAAGAUAAUCCAAAGAAUAGGAGAAAAAUUUUGCAAAUCAUAUUUGUAAGGGAUUUGAGUCUCAAACAUAUAAAACUACUACAAAUCCAUAAUAAAAGCACAAAUAAGGCCAGGCUUGGUUGCUUACACCUGUAAUCCCAGCACUUUGGGAGACUGAGGGGGGCAGAUCACCCAAGGUCAGGAGUUUGACACCAGCUGGGACAACAUAGUGAAACCCCAUCUCUACUACAAAUACAAAAAAUUAGCUGGGGGUGGUGUCACAUGCCCGUAAUCCCAGCUACUCAGGAGGCUGAAGCAGGAGAAUCAUCUGAACCCAGGAGGUGGAGGCUGCAGUGAGCCAGCCUGGGUGACAGAGUGAGACUCUGUGUCAAAAAAAUAAUAAUAAAAUCAAAUUAAAAUUUAAAAACGCAAAUAAUGCAGUUUGAAAAUGGACAUGCCGAAAUCUGAUACACAUGCCUCCAAACAAAACCUACAAAUUGCCAAUAAGCACAGGAAAAGAUGUUUAACAUCAUUAUCCAUCAAGUACAUGCAAAUCAAAACCACAAUGAAAUACUACUUUACACUCACUAGAUGGCUACAAUCAAAAUACAGAUAAUAACAAGGUAAGGAUGUGGGAAAAUAGGAACCCUCAUACACUGCUGAUGAGAAUGUAAAA
RNAcentral lists this long non-coding RNA (813 nucleotides) under Pan troglodytes (chimpanzee). RNAcentral's name for it is "long non-coding RNA NONPTRT005981". Lineage: Eukaryota; Metazoa; Chordata; Mammalia; Primates; Hominidae. The record is from RNAcentral.